ACACUCCUGCGGGAGGCAGCAGUGGGGAAUUUUGGACAAUGGGCGCAAGCCUGAUCCAGCCAUGCCGCGUGCGGGAAGAAGGCCUUCGGGUUGUAAACCGCUUUUGUCAGGGAAGAAAAGGUUCUGGCUAAUACCUGGGACUCAUGACGGUACCUGAAGAAUAAGCACCGGCUAACUACGUGCCAGCAGCCGCGGUACUACGUAGGGUGCAAGCGUUAAUCGGAAUUACUGGGCGUAAAGCGUGCGCAGGCGGUUAUGCAAGACAGAGGUGAAAUCCCCGGGCUCAACCCGGGAACUGCCUUUGUGACUGCAUGGCUAGAGUACGGUAGAGGGGGAUGGAAUUCCGCGUGUAGCAGUGAAAUGCGUAGAUAUGCGGAGGAACACCGAUGGCGAAGGCAAUCCCCUGGACCUGUACUGACGCUCAUGCACGAAAGCGUGGGGAGCAAACAGGAUUAGAAACCCCGGUAGUCCCAUG
Molecule: ribosomal RNA, 475 nt
Filed under: uncultured organism
Description: partial 16S ribosomal RNA
Rfam family: Bacterial small subunit ribosomal RNA
Source: RNAcentral